This 155-nucleotide ribosomal RNA is filed under the name Heteracris adspersa. RNAcentral describes it as "5.8S ribosomal RNA". It matches the Rfam family "5.8S ribosomal RNA". From Rfam's summary of the family: 5.8S ribosomal RNA (5.8S rRNA) is a component of the large subunit of the eukaryotic ribosome. It is transcribed by RNA polymerase I as part of the 45S precursor that also contains 18S and 28S rRNA. Functionally, it is thought that 5.8S rRNA may be involved in ribosome translocation. The record is from RNAcentral. Lineage: Eukaryota; Metazoa; Arthropoda; Insecta; Orthoptera; Acrididae. RNAcentral also lists the same sequence under 1 other name.
CACCCAGGACGGUGGAUCACUCGGCUCGUGGGUCGAUGAAGAACGCAGCAAAUUGCGCGUCGACAUGUGAACUGCAGGACACAUGAACAUCGACGUUUCGCACGCACAUUGCGGUCCAUGGAUUCCGUUCCCGGGCCACGUCUGGCUGAGGGUCG